UGGGGAAUUUUGCACAAUGGGGGAAACCCUGAUGCAGCGACGCCGCGUGAUGUAGAAGGCCUUCGGGUUGUAAAAAUCUUUUCUAUGGGAAGAAAAUGACAGUACCAUAGGAAUAAGGACCGGCUAAUUACGUGCCAGCAGCCGCGGUAAUACGUAAGGUCCGAGCGUUGUCCGGAAUCAUUGGGCGUAAAGGGUACGUAGGCGGGUAAGCAAGUUAGAAGUGAAAUCCUAUAGCUCAACUAUAGUAAGCUUUUAAAACUGCUCAUCUUGAGGUAUGGAAGGGGAAGUGGAAUUCCUAGUGUAGCGGUGACAUGCGCAGAUAUUAGGAGGAAUACCGGUGGCGAAGGCGACUUUCUGGCCAUAACCUGACGCUGAGGUACGAAAGCGUGGGUAGCAAACAGG
This 402-nucleotide ribosomal RNA is filed under the name bacterium. RNAcentral's name for it is "partial 16S ribosomal RNA". It matches the Rfam family "Bacterial small subunit ribosomal RNA", at positions 355 to 776 of the family's 1533-position model. The record is from RNAcentral.